This 1422-nucleotide ribosomal RNA is filed under the name uncultured bacterium. RNAcentral describes it as "bacterial SSU rRNA". It matches the Rfam family "Bacterial small subunit ribosomal RNA". The record is from RNAcentral.
CAGGAUGAACGCUGACAGAAUGCUUAACACAUGCAAGUCGAUUCAAUUUACCUUCGGGUAUUGAGGAUGGCGGACGGGUGAGUAACGCGUAAGGAACUUGCCUCUUGGUCUGGGACAACUGUUGGAAACGACAGCUAAUACCAGAUAUUAUGAGAUUCUCGCAUGGGAAACUUAUGAAAGCUAUAUGCGCCAAGAGAGAGCCUUGCGUUCCAUUAGCUAGUUGGUGGGGUAACGGCCCACCAAGGCGACGAUGGAUAGCCGGCCUGAGAGGGUGAACGGCCACAAGGGGACUGAGACACGGCCCUUACUCCUACGGGAGGCAGCAGUGGGGAAUAUUGGACAAUGGGCCACAAGCCUGAUCCAGCAAUUCUGUGUGCACGAUGAAGGUCUUCGGAUUGUAAAGUGCUUUCAGUUGGGAAGAAGAAAGUGACGGUACCAACAGAAGAAGCGACGGCUAAAUACGUGCCAGCAGCCGCGGUAAUACGUAUGUCGCAAGCGUUAUCCGGAUUUAUUGGGCGUAAAGCGCGUCUAGGCGGAAAAAUAAGUCUGAUGUUAAAAUGCGGGGCUCAACUCCGUAUUGCGUUGGAAACUGUUUUUCUAGAGUACUGGAGAGGUGGGCGGAACUACAAGUGUAGAGGUGAAAUUCGUAGAUAUUUGUAGGAAUGCCGAUGGAGAAGUCAGCUCACUGGACAGAUACUGACGCUAAAGCGCGAAAGCGUGGGGAGCAAACAGGAUUAGAUACCCUGGUAGUCCACGCUGUAAACGAUGUGGAUUUGGAGGUUGUGCCUUGGAGGCGUGGCUUCGGAAGCUAACGCGUUAAAUCGACGGCNUUGGGGAGUACGGCCGCAAGGUAAAAUCUCAAAUGAAUAGACGGGGGCCCGCACAAGCGGUGGAGCAUGUGGUUUAAUUCGAUGCAACGCGAAGAACUUUACUUACUCUUGACAUCCAGAGAACUUUCCAGAGAUGGAUUGGUGCCUUCGGGAACUCUGAGACAGGUGCUGCAUGGCUGUCGUCAGCUCGUGUGGUGAAAUGUUGGGUUAAGUCCCGCAACGAGCGCAACCCUUAUUGUAUGUUGCUACCAUUAAGUUGAGCACUCAUGCGAUACUGCCUGCGAUGAGCAGGAGGAAGGUGGGGAUGACGUCAAGUCAUCAUGCCCCUUAUACGCUGGGCUACACACGUGCUACAAUGGGCAGUACAGAGAGUUGCCAACCCGCGAGGGUGAGCUAAUCUCUUAAAGCUGUUCUUAGUUCGGAUUGUACUCUGCAACUCGAGUACAUGAAGUUGGAAUCGCUAGUAAUCGCAAAUCAGCAUGUUGCGGUGAAUACGUUCUCGGGUCUUGUACACACCGCCCGUCACACCACGAGAGUUGGUUGCACCUGAAGUAGCAGGCCUAACCGUAAGGAGGGAUGUUCCUAAGGUGUG